This 292-nucleotide ribosomal RNA is filed under the name uncultured bacterium. RNAcentral describes it as "partial 16S ribosomal RNA". It matches the Rfam family "Bacterial small subunit ribosomal RNA", at positions 505 to 796 of the family's 1533-position model. The record is from RNAcentral.
GUGUCAGCAGCCGCGGUAAUACAGAGGUCCCAAGCGUUGUUCGGAUUCACUGGGCGUAAAGGGUGCGUAGGCGGUCGGGUAAGUCUGAUGUGAAAUCUCCAAGCUUAACUUGGAAAUGGCAUCGGAUACUAUUCGGCUCGAGGAAUGGAGGGGAGACUGGAAUACUUGGUGUAGCAGUGAAAUGCGUAGAUAUCAAGUGGAACACCAGUGGCGAAGGCGAGUCUCUGGACAUUUCCUGACGCUGAGGCACGAAAGCCAGGGGAGCAAACGGGAUUAGAUACCCCAGUAGUCC